AGUUCGGACUGGAGUCUGCAACCCGACUCCACGAAGUUGGAUUCGCUAGUAAUCGCGCAUCAGCCAUGGCGCGGUGAAUACGUUCCCGGGCCUUGUACACACCGCCCGUCAAGCCAUGGGAGCCGGGGGCGCCUGAAGUCCGGGACCGCGAGGACCGGCCUAGGGCGAAACUGGUAACUGGGCUAAGUCGUAACAAGGUAAC
This 202-nucleotide ribosomal RNA is filed under the name uncultured bacterium. Its description in RNAcentral is "partial 16S ribosomal RNA". It matches the Rfam family "Bacterial small subunit ribosomal RNA", at positions 1290 to 1500 of the family's 1533-position model. The record is from RNAcentral.